GAUUUUUAUCAUAGCUUGCUAUGAUAAAAAUUAGUGGCAGACGGGUGAGUAAUGCAUAGGAAUCUACCUAGUAGUAUGGGAUAGCCACUAGAAAUGGUGGGUAAUACUGUAUAAUCCCUGCGGGGGAAAGAUUUAUCGCUAUUAGAUGAGCCUAUGUUAGAUUAGCUAGUUGGUAGGGUAAAGGCCUACCAAGGCAGUGAUCUAUAGCUGGUCUGAGAGGAUGAUCAGCCACACUGGAACUGAGAUACGGUCCAGACUCCUACGGGAGGCAGCAGUGGGGAAUAUUGGACAAUGGGCGCAAGCCUGAUCCAGCUAUGCCGCGUGAGUGAGGAAGGCCUUAGGGUUGUAAAACUCUUCCAGUGGGGAAGAUAAUGACGGUACCCACAGAAAAAGUCCCGGCAAACUC
RNAcentral lists this ribosomal RNA (406 nucleotides) under Ehrlichia sp. H29. RNAcentral describes it as "bacterial SSU rRNA". It matches the Rfam family "Bacterial small subunit ribosomal RNA", at positions 65 to 503 of the family's 1533-position model. Lineage: Bacteria; Pseudomonadati; Pseudomonadota; Alphaproteobacteria; Rickettsiales; Anaplasmataceae. The record is from RNAcentral.